This 374-nucleotide ribosomal RNA is filed under the name uncultured organism. RNAcentral's name for it is "partial 16S ribosomal RNA". It matches the Rfam family "Bacterial small subunit ribosomal RNA", at positions 527 to 896 of the family's 1533-position model. The record is from RNAcentral.
GUAGGUGGCAAGCGUUGUCCGGAAUUAUUGGGCGUAAAGCGCGCGCAGGCGGUCCUUUAAGUCUGAUGUGAAAGCCCACGGCUCAACCGUGGAGGGUCAUUGGAAACUGGGGGACUUGAGUACAGAAGAGGAAAGCGGAAUUCCAAGUGUAGCGGUGAAAUGCGUAGAGAUUUGGAGGAACACCAGUGGCGAAGGCGGCUUUCUGGUCUGUAACUGACGCCGAGGCGCGAAAGCGUGGGGAGCAAACAGGAUUAGAUACCCUGGUAGUCCACGCCGUAAACGAUGAGUGCUAAGUGUUAGGGGGUUUCCCGCCCCCCUUAGUGCUGCAGCUAACGCAUUAAGCACUCCGCCUGGGGAGUACGGCCGCAAGGCUG